This 577-nucleotide unclassified non-coding RNA is filed under the name Hevea brasiliensis (rubber tree). The record is from RNAcentral. Lineage: Eukaryota; Viridiplantae; Streptophyta; Magnoliopsida; Malpighiales; Euphorbiaceae.
UAAUGACAUAGAUGCUGCAGUAGAAAGUUUCAAGAAAGCUUUGGAGCUUGAGCCAAAUGAUGGAGGUAUCAAAAACCAGCUUGCUGCUGCUAAAAAGAAGAUUGCUGAUAGACGUGACAAGGAGAGAAAAGCAUUUUCCAGGAUGUUCCAAAAUUAGUUUUGGUUCUCAUUUGGCACCAGUGCUGGCAAUUAAUACUCUUUAUCAAUUGCCAUCAUUCAUGGAGUUCCUUCUGCUUUCAGAAACAGGAUAGUUUAUUGCCUUGUUUCGAGACAUCGAUCCUGAUCUAUGAACUAAAUUAAACUUUAAAUGAACUGCUCAGGCUAUUCUUGGUUAUAACUUGUAUGCACCAAAUAGCAGAAGGAAUUUUAGGUGUCUAUGCACCCUUGUUGUUAUUAAUCAGCUAUUAAUAAGCUGCAUGGAUGAAAAAAAAAUUAAUCAUGGGAAAUCGUUAUCCAAUGUUCUUUUAUAAUUGUGCUGACUUGCAAGGUGACUUCCUUGCAAUCUCUGUAGCCUAAUAUUUCCACAUUGAGAUGGAAGUAACUUGUAUGUAUUAUGUAACUCAACUGUAAUGGUAAG